Molecule: ribosomal RNA, 497 nt
Filed under: uncultured bacterium
Lineage: Bacteria
Description: partial 16S ribosomal RNA
Rfam family: Bacterial small subunit ribosomal RNA
Source: RNAcentral
GACGAACGCUGGCGGCGUGCCUAAUACAUGCAAGUUGAGCGCUGAAGGUUGGUACUUGUACCGACUGGAUGAGCAGCGAACGGGUGAGUAACGCGUGGGGAAUCUGCCUUUGAGCGGGGGACAACAUUUGGAAACGAAUGCUAAUACCGCAUAAAAACUUUAAACACAAGUUUUAAGUUUGAAAGAUGCAAUUGCAUCACUCAAAGAUGAUCCCGCGUUGUAUUAGCUAGUUGGUGAGGUAAUGGCUCACCAAGGCGAUGAUACAUAGCCGACCUGAGAGGGUGAUCGGCCACAUUGGGACUGAGGCACGGCCCAAACUCCUACGGGAGGCAGCAGUAGGGAAUCUUCGGCAAUGGACGAAAGUCUGACCGAGCAACGCCGCGUGAGUGAAGAAGGGUUUCGGAUCGUAAAACUCUGUUGGUAGAGAAGAACGUUGGUGAGAGUGGAAAGCUCAUCAAGUGACGGUAACUACCCAGAAAGGGACGGCUAACUACGUG